Molecule: ribosomal RNA, 448 nt
Filed under: uncultured bacterium
Lineage: Bacteria
Description: SSU rRNA
Rfam family: Bacterial small subunit ribosomal RNA
Source: RNAcentral
AGAGCGAACGCUGGCGGCAGGCCUAACACAUGCAAGUCGAGCGCGUGUAGCAAUACACGAGCGGCAGACGGGAGAGUAACACGUGGGAACGCGCCCUUCGGUUCGGAAUAACUCAGGGAAACUUGAGCUAAUACCGGAUACGCCCUUACGGGGAAAGAUUUAUUGCCGAAGGAACGGCCCGCGUCCGAUUAGCUAGUUGGUGAGGUAACGGCUCACCAAGGCGACGAUCGGUAGCUGGUCUGAGAGGAUGACCAGCCUCACUGGGACUGAGACACGGCCCAGACUCCUACGGGAGGCAGCAGUGGGGAAUAUGGACAAUGGGCGCAAGCCUGAUCCAGCCAUGCCGCGUGGAUGAUGAAGGCCUUAGGGUUGUAAAGUCCGUUUUAACGGGGAAGAUAAUGACGGUACCCGUAGAAUAAGCCCCGGCUAACUUCGCGCCAGCAGCCGC